RNAcentral lists this ribosomal RNA (546 nucleotides) under uncultured bacterium. RNAcentral's name for it is "bacterial SSU rRNA". It matches the Rfam family "Bacterial small subunit ribosomal RNA", at positions 777 to 1321 of the family's 1533-position model. The record is from RNAcentral.
AAUAGAUACCCCGGUAGUCCACGCCGUAAACGAUGAGUGCUAAGUGUUAGGGGGUUUCCGCCCCUUAGUGCUGCAGCUAACGCAUUAAGCACUCCGCCUGGGGAGUACGGUCGCAAGACUGAAACUCAAAGGAAUUGACGGGGGCCCGCACAAGCGGUGGAGCAUGUGGUUUAAUUCGAAGCAACGCGAAGAACCUUACCAGGUCUUGACAUCCCACUGACCGCUAUGGAGACAUAGUUUUCCCUUCGGGGACAGUGGUGACAGGUGGUGCAUGGUUGUCGUCAGCUCGUGUCGUGAGAUGUUGGGUUAAGUCCCGCAACGAGCGCAACCCUUGAUCUUAGUUGCCAUCAUUUAGUUGGGCACUCUAAGGUGACUGCCGGUGACAAACCGGAGGAAGGUGGGGAUGACGUCAAAUCAUCAUGCCCCUUAUGACCUGGGCUACACACGUGCUACAAUGGACGGUACAAACGGUUGCCAACCCGCGAGGGGGAGCUAAUCCGAUAAAAUCGUUCUCAGUUCGGAUUGUAGGCUGCAACUCGCCUACAC